UACGUAGGGGGCUAGCGUUGUCCGGAUUUAUUGGGCGUAAAGAGCUCGUAGGCGGUUUGUUGCGUCGGCUGUGAAAACCUGAGGCUCAACCUCAGGCCUGCAGUCGAUACGAGCAGACUAGAGUGUUGCAGGGGAGACUGGAAUUCCCGGUGUAGUGGUGGAAUGCGUAGAUAUCGGGAGGAACACCAGUGGCGAAGGCGGUUGCCUGGAGCUUUGCUGACGCUGAUGCGCGAAAGCGUGGGGAGCGAUCCGG
Molecule: ribosomal RNA, 253 nt
Filed under: uncultured bacterium
Lineage: Bacteria
Description: partial 16S ribosomal RNA
Rfam family: Bacterial small subunit ribosomal RNA
Source: RNAcentral